Non-coding RNA from Pelobates cultripes (western spadefoot toad), 168 nucleotides. NCBI's taxonomy places the organism in Eukaryota, Metazoa, Chordata, Amphibia, Anura, Pelobatidae. The record is from the annotation of a GenBank genome assembly.
GCAGACACAUUCCAGCCAAUUAGCAGCAGACCCUCCCUCCCAGACCCUCCCACUUCCUGGACAGCUCACUAAGAAUGCAGCUUCACAAUGAAUGUAAAAUGGAUGCUGUCCAGGAGGUGGGAGGGUCUGGGAGGGAGGGUCUGCUGCUGAUUGGCUGGAAUGUGUCUG